CCUACGGGUGGCAGCAGUAGGGAAUAUUGCUCAAUGGGGGAAACCCUGAAGCAGCCACGCCGCGUGGAGGAUGAAGGUCUUCGGAUUGUAAACUCCUUUUGUUAGAGAAGAUAAUGACGGUAUCUAACGAAUAAGCACCGGCUAACUCCGUGCCAGCAGCCGCGGUAAUACGGAGGGUGCAAGCGUUACUCGGAAUCACUGGGCGUAAAGGGCGCGUAGGCGGGAUGGCAAGUCAGAUGUGAAAUCCUAUGGCUUAACCAUAGAACUGCAUUUGAAACUGUUAUUCUAGAGUAUGGGAGAGGUAGGUGGAAUUCUUGGUGUAGGGGUAAAAUCCGUAGAGAUCAAGAGGAAUACUCAUGGCGAAGGCGACCUGCUAGAACAUAACUGACGCUGAUGCGCGAAAGCGUGGGGAGCAAACAGGAUUAGAUACCCGUGUAGUC
RNAcentral lists this ribosomal RNA (440 nucleotides) under uncultured bacterium. Its description in RNAcentral is "partial 16S ribosomal RNA". It matches the Rfam family "Bacterial small subunit ribosomal RNA", at positions 338 to 795 of the family's 1533-position model. The record is from RNAcentral.